Molecule: ribosomal RNA, 504 nt
Filed under: uncultured bacterium
Lineage: Bacteria
Description: bacterial SSU rRNA
Rfam family: Bacterial small subunit ribosomal RNA
Source: RNAcentral
AUGGCUCAGGAUGAACGCUAGCGGCAGGCUAACACAUGCAAGUCGAGGGGCAUCGGGAGUAGCAAUACUUGCCGGCGACCGGCGCAAGGGUGCGUAACGCGUGAGCAACAUGCCCGUAUCAGGGGGAUAAUCCAUGGAAACGUGGUCUAAUACCCCAUAGUAAUUAUGUAAGGCAUCUUAUAUAAUUUAAAGCUUUGGUGGAUACGGAUUGGCUCGCGUGACAUUAGCUAGAUGGUAAGGUAACGGCUUACCAUGGCUACGAUGUCUAGGGGUUCUGAGAGGAAGGUCCCCCACACUGGAACUGAGACACGGUCCAGACUCCUACGGGAGGCAGCAGUGAGGAAUAUUGGACAAUGGAUGGAAAUCUGAUCCAGCCAUGCCGCGUGCAGGAAGACGGCCCUAUGGGUUGUAAACUGUCUUUUGUAUGGGAGCAAUAAGGGCUACGUGUAGUCCGAUGAGAGUACCAUACGAAUAAGCACCGGCUAACUCCGUGCCAGCAGCGGC